This 1479-nucleotide long non-coding RNA is filed under the name Olea europaea subsp. europaea. Lineage: Eukaryota; Viridiplantae; Streptophyta; Magnoliopsida; Lamiales; Oleaceae. The record is from RNAcentral.
UAGGAGGGUAUUUUGGUUAUUUUAAAUUAAAAAAUGGUGAAAAUAGGUUUUCUGUAAUGAAAAGUUGGAAUAAGGACGAAAAUGCAAAAAAGGACCUCGCUGCACGAACAGAAUUGAACCUACAGAAUGUGAACCGAAUGACGUGGCAGAUGGAAAAUAUUUAAGGCAAAAAAAAAAGAGAAAAACGCAAACACUCUCUUCACCGUCCCAAUUCAUUCCCGUUUCCCUCUCCAUUCGAAAAUUGGGAACCCUAGAAAUCAUCCCCUUCAUCCCGGCGUCGCCAUCAUUUUCAUCUUCCCGGCGAGUUGAAAUGGGUACAGAUAUUCGAACGUCGAAUAGAGAGUGAUAUCGUCUCCUUGGACUUCACCACCGUACCCUGCACACGGUGAAAUCGCCUCCUUCAUCUUCACCACCGUACGCCGCACCCUUCUCCACCAUCGGGCGUCGAGUCAGCCCUGAACAUCAAGGUAUCUUCACCUUCGUUACGUGGGUUGUCUUAUGAAUUUUACCCCAAAUUUGUCGGCUUUAAAUAUUUGGGCUUCCUCCAAAACGGCAUAAUUUUCUCCAAAAUUGUGAAAAUUGUAAGCUUUCAGUGAAGUCAGUUUCCUUCCAAACUGUCAGUGAAAGAACUUGUGAAAAAACUAAAAUUAAGUUUGAUCGAAAAACUAAUUUUCCUCACCUUUGUUCACAGACGCCACAGUCAACUCCACUAGCAGCAUUCGACUAGCCCGCAUCAGCCGUAAGUGAGGUUAGUUUCUUCCGAAUCUUAUUCAGUUUUUACUUUCCCAUUCCCUGUGAAUUGUUGUGAGAUGCUGGUAUUAUUUGUGACAAUUAACUGCAUAUGCUAUUUGUGUUUAUUACCGUCCAGGAUGAGACGGAAGAACGUGGGUGUUUGUCACGGUUGUCGAAGUACACAGCACUUCUUCAAUGACUGUCCGGUAAAACGACGAUGUCCAUGGUGCUCACUGGGAUGGGAGAAAUGCUUUGAAGUUGAAAGGAAGACAGAUAAUCGAGGACGAUUAUUCAAAACGUGCAGUAAUAAUUGUGGAUAUUUCUUUUGGGUCGAGAAUGAAGAAUUCUGUGGUGAAAGUAGUACAAGGACUGAAGCGGUCAUAGAUGAAGUGGGCGAAGAUUUGGCAGCCAUGUUCGAUAGUCUAGCUCAAAUAGCAGAAAAACGAGACGUCGAGAUAACGUUGAAUGUGACUUUCCGCAAGGCAAAGGGAAGUGCGGAAGUGAAUGGAAAGGGAAAGGGCCGAGCUUGAUAAGUAGCAGGAGAAUGUUAUGGCUUGUUUUUGUGUGUGUGUCGGCUGUAGAAUAAAGACCAUUGGGGGCUAAGUGGUAGUGUAGAUGUUGAAGGCUUCAUUUUGUAUCUUGAAAGCCUGAAUCAAGUAUGAUUUACUUGUUGUAUGGAAGCCUUGGAACUUCCUGUUAUUCAAAGAUGUAGUUGUUAUGGGGAAACUUAUGUAAACCAUGUUGAAG